AUGUCUUGGGAAAUCAAGAACGCCCUCGAGGAGGAUUCUGGGAAACUGACGUUGAGCCUCCUGAGGGGCAUGCGCGAGGGUGGCUACUAUCCGACUUGGAACCACGGCCAUUUUGGCUCUGCGGCCCAUGUAUUCCUAUCCCCUGGUUCCAGUCUAGGUGGUCCAGGCUCUGUUCUAACAGGGCAUUUGUUCUGUAAUUCUGCAUUAUUAGUUCUCCGCUUCCUCCCAGAGGAGACUCAGAUUAUCAUCCUGGUAUGGAGAUCAAUGGAAGAUAUUUGAAGAACACUCUUCAAUUCCCA
Molecule: long non-coding RNA, 299 nt
Filed under: Capra hircus (goat)
Lineage: Eukaryota; Metazoa; Chordata; Mammalia; Artiodactyla; Bovidae
Description: lncRNA (ENSCHIG00010018441.1)
Source: RNAcentral